CCGGCGCACGGGUGAGUAACACGUAUGCAAUCCACCUGUAACAGGGGAUAACCCGGAGAAAUCCGGACUAAUACCCAUAAUAUGGGCGCUCCGCAUGGAGAGUUCAUUAAAGAGAGCAAUUUUGGUUACAGACGAGCAUGCGCUCCAUUAGCCAGUUGGCGGGGUAACGGCCCACCAAGGCGACGAUGGAUAGGGGUUCUGAGAGGAAGGUCCCCCACAUUGGAACUGAGACACGGUCCAA
RNAcentral lists this ribosomal RNA (241 nucleotides) under uncultured bacterium. RNAcentral describes it as "partial 16S ribosomal RNA". It matches the Rfam family "Bacterial small subunit ribosomal RNA", at positions 95 to 334 of the family's 1533-position model. The record is from RNAcentral.